UACGUAGGGUGCAAGCGUUGUCCGGAAUCAUUGGGCGUAAAGCGCGCGUAGGUGGUCAUGUAAGUCCGCUGUGAAAGUCAAAGGCUCAACCUUUGAAAGCCGGUGGAUACUGCAUGACUAGAGUACGGAAGAGGCGAGUGGAAUUCCUGGUGUAGCGGUGGAAUGCGCAGAUAUCAGGAGGAACACCAAUAGCGAAGGCAGCUCGCUGGGACGUUACUGACGCUGAGACGCGAAAGCGUGGGGAGCAAACAGG
Molecule: ribosomal RNA, 253 nt
Filed under: uncultured bacterium
Lineage: Bacteria
Description: partial 16S ribosomal RNA
Rfam family: Bacterial small subunit ribosomal RNA
Source: RNAcentral